This 242-nucleotide unclassified non-coding RNA is filed under the name Hevea brasiliensis (rubber tree). The record is from RNAcentral. Lineage: Eukaryota; Viridiplantae; Streptophyta; Magnoliopsida; Malpighiales; Euphorbiaceae.
GCCCCUUCAGUAAUAUUUGCAGCUAGAACUAAUUUUCUUGAGCGCUUGUGUUGCUUUACUUCUGAGUUAGAAUCAGCACCUUGAUUCAUAGUGCUCACAUUCUUCUUCCACCAGCCUCUUUUAGGAUCACNNNCAGUAAGGCUUUGACUGAUAGAUGGGGAAGAUGCACCUGUAACACUACCAGUUUCUGGUCUCAAUCCUGUAAGUUCUCUCACACGUGCUAAUGGCAGCGUUACCUUCUU